This 468-nucleotide ribosomal RNA is filed under the name uncultured bacterium. Its description in RNAcentral is "partial 16S ribosomal RNA". It matches the Rfam family "Bacterial small subunit ribosomal RNA", at positions 28 to 507 of the family's 1533-position model. The record is from RNAcentral.
GACGAACGCUGGCGGCGUGCUUAACACAUGCAAGUCGAACGGAAAGGCCCUGCUUUUGUGGGGUGCUCGCGUGGCGAACGGGUGAGUAACACGUGAGUAUCCUGCCCUUGGCUGUGGGAUAUCCUCAGGAAAGUGGGGCUACUACAGGCUAGGAGCUCCUGCUGCUUGGUGGGGGUUGGACAGUUUCGGCGGUUGGGGAUCGACUGGCGGCUUAUCAGCUUGUUGGUUGGGUAGUGGCUUAGCGAGGCUUUGGCUGCUAGCCGGCCUGAGAGGGGGACCGGCGACAAUAGGACUGCGAGACGGCGCAGACUGCUACGGUAGGCAGCAGUGGGGAAUAUUGCACAAUGGGCGGAAGCCUGAUACGGCAACGCCGCGAUCGGGAUGACGGCCUUCGGGUUGUAAACCGCUUUCGCCUGUGACGAAGCGUGAGUGACGGUAACGGGUAAAGAAGCACCGGCUAACUACGUG